GCUAAACUAAUUCAAACACAAUCACAGAACAUUGAAAAUUCAACAAAUAUCACAUAGAGAAAUUAAAAGGCAAGAAGACACGUGACAUUUCAUUUUUAGAAAAUAACAGAGUAACAGCAGCAAAAGGGUUAAGGAAUUUUUACAGUGAUUUUCCAACUCACGGUGGUGGUGGCUGAUUCCAGCGAGUGGCGGCAGCUCCAGCCCCAUUGACACGUUUUUGGAUGGAAUCUGAUUCCUUCUCAUUUUAGGCGAAACAUGGUAGGAGAUUCCUUAGCAGUUCCCUUGUUUUGUUUCCUAAUCAGAAUCAUCACUAACCAAAUACAAAAAAAAAAAAAAACUCUUUACUAAAGAAUUCUUUUCCUUUUCGUCACUGGUUUCCUAGAGCCAGACAGGCCCUACUGAACCCAACUUUCCCGUUAGCCUGGUGUUUUAUUGGCAUGACAGAGAAACCCUUGAAGACUCACCCAACCUAAUCUAGGAUUGUUAUGUCAAAGGGCGCCUCCACAGCAUCGAUCACAACCUAUUUGAGAAAAAGCCUCUAUGAACUCGAAGCCCAGAAAUUCUAAAGUUACCAGAGGAAGCUCUGAUGAAGAUAGAACCAGCAACUUGCCUGAAUCCAUCCUCUGCCACAUUCUCUCGUUCCUUCCCACAAAAUUUGCAGCUGCCACAUUCGUUCCGUCCACUAGGUGGAGGAAACUGUUCAAAAAAUGAGCUUAAAUCAAAGUGGUUUGGUGCAUUUUGUUCCCUUGCUACCUGGAAAGCAUCAUUGGAAGUUUGAUUUUGGGGGAUUUGAUCUGAUGGGUACUUUUUUGAUAAAGAAAAUGGAGUUGCUGGUGGUGGAAGUUACAUCGAUUAAUCUUAAUACCAUGAAAGAUGAACUUCUCAUGCAAACACUAAACCUGUUUUUCCCUUUUCCAGAGCAGCAAUCUAUUGCAUCUCCAAGACCGGGUAUCCUUACCAUUGAUUAAUCAAAUGCAACUUGUGUAAAGAGGUUGGCAUCUAUUGGACUUGAUAAUACAGAAGUCAACAGGCAGGCUUACAAACAACUUUUAUUGACCACUCCUGGCCUCAGUGAUUAUAUCUCUGGUGUCAUUCUCUUUGAGGAGACACUUUAUCAAUCAACCACUGAUGGCAAGAAAUUUGUGGAUUGAUCACGUGAUGAGAAUAUUAUACCUAGUAUCAAAGAUGACAAGGGUUUUGUCUCCCUUACCAGGAUCCAGCAAUGAAUCAUGGUGCCAAGGUUUAGAUGGAUUGGCUUCUAGAUCUGCCCAAUACUAUAAGCAGGGCGCGCGGUUUACAGCAGAAAGCCACCAAACAAUUGAAGACACUGUUGUCAUGUCUUCCUCCAAAACCCCCAUCAGCUGAGAAGAUCAUUGUAAGCCCAGCCAAGAAGCUUAAACAGCAAGAAGAAUGCAGAAUUUGGAUAUUGACAUGGAUAAAGAAGGAGACGAGCAAAAGGCAAAAAAGAAAAAAGUGGGAAUGUAAAGGAGACUUGUUAGAAAAUGAAAUGGGAGACUUGCCUUUGAGCUCUUGCCAAAAGGUGGAUCAAUGUAUGAAGAAACAUUGGAGACUUACAAAUUUCAUGAUUAGAUCUCUUUGAUGCUGGAGAAGUUGCUUCUUGUAUUGAAUUUCUCAGUUUUAGCUGACGUUAACCACAUUAAUUCUUCAUUCAUUUGUCAAUGAGCUGAAUCCAGAAUUAUGCACCUUUUGUUGUUCUGCAUCAGGGGCCUCUCCGUACUUUAUUAGUUGAGGCAAUCUGUCCUUACAGCGAAAUUCUGCGCACCAGUCCCUACUGCAGGAAGAUCUUCUCACGCAAUCUUCUGAAGAAGUGAUGUUGGAAAUGGUGGUCAACUGCUGUGGUUUUUAGAAAAAAUGCUACAAACUUUGUGAAUAAGUGUUAAAUCUCUUUUUGGUGUGGCCUUAUGUAUAUUACCUGACCUCGUUUCCUUCAUGUUCAAGUGUGGUGACAACUUCUACCUUAGCCUGAGAGAAACUUGUGACUCUUUCUUAUGUUGUAGUGUUACUUGUCAAAUACUUUACAUAGGAGAUAAUGCAGGCAACGAAGCUUCUGUUGUUACCUGUUCUGUAUUUCUUUGGAUAAUGUUUUUUCCUUGCAUAUAGUAAAGGAGCCUUAUUUUGACUUUAAA
Molecule: long non-coding RNA, 2147 nt
Organism: Coffea eugenioides
Lineage: Eukaryota; Viridiplantae; Streptophyta; Magnoliopsida; Gentianales; Rubiaceae
Exons: 5
Source: RefSeq, a predicted model, not a curated record